This 253-nucleotide ribosomal RNA is filed under the name uncultured bacterium. RNAcentral's name for it is "partial 16S ribosomal RNA". It matches the Rfam family "Bacterial small subunit ribosomal RNA", at positions 524 to 776 of the family's 1533-position model. The record is from RNAcentral.
UACGAAGGUGGCAAGCGUUACUCGGAAUUACUAGGCGUAAAGGGCAGGUAGGUGGUUUGGUUAGUCUGUUGUGAAAGCUCCUUGCUUAACGGGGAGAGGCCAACAGAUACUGCCAGACUUGAGUAUAGGAGGGGGUACUGGAAUUCCCGGUGUAGCGGUGAAAUGCGCAGAGAUCGGGAGGAACACCAAUGGCGAAAGCAGGUACCUGGACUAUUACUGACACUAAGCUGCGAAAGCUAGGGGAGCAAACAGG